CCUACUGGUGACAUCAUUGAGGCAUCUUGGUCAAUGGCCGUAAGGCUGAACCAGCAAAGUAGCGUGAGGUCCUCCUUCCCUCUUUUUUUUCCCCCUCUUUUCUUCUUUGCUCAAGGUGUCCACGUGUGGAUGUUUGCAGGUACCGCAUGAAUAAGGACCGGCUAAUUCCGUGCCAGCAGCCGCGGUAAUACGGAAGGUCCGGGCGUUAUCCGGAUUUAUUGGGUUUAAAGGGAGCGUAGGCCGGUCUUUAAGCGUGCCGUGAAAUUUUGUGGCUCAACCAUGAGAGUGCGGCGCGAACUGGAGACCUUGAGUGCGCGGAAGGCAGGCGGAAUUCGUGGUGUAGCGGUGAAAUGCUUAGAUAUCACGAAGAACCCCGAUUGCGAAGGCAGCCUGCCGCAGCGUUACUGACGCUGAAGCUCGAAAGCGCGGGUAUCGAACAGGAUUAGAUACCCCUGUAGUC
RNAcentral lists this ribosomal RNA (460 nucleotides) under uncultured bacterium. RNAcentral describes it as "partial 16S ribosomal RNA". It matches the Rfam family "Bacterial small subunit ribosomal RNA", at positions 338 to 795 of the family's 1533-position model. The record is from RNAcentral.